CUUUCUUUUUUUUUCCCUUGAUCUAGCCCCUUCUCUCUCUGGGUGCAAAGAGAGACAGGAUCAAUGACAGUAGGGUUGGAAGUAUGCAGCAAAGAAUCUUCUUCUCAUGUACCAUCCAGCUGAUAGGGUUGAGUCGCCGUGAACAGAGGAGGAAGUGCGAUUGCAGUUUUAUCAUGUUGAUGUCAACGGUGCGCCAUUCAGACUUGUUUUUUUGAGAAAAAAUCAGUUUCCCGUGCAGAAGUGACGCUAUGGUUAUUAUUCCCUUGGCAGCUGUGGAUAGAUAACCAGAAACAAGCUGAAGUUAUCGGUGGUCACAAAGCACAUUUUGCGGUUAACGAAGUCAGGGAGAUGAUAGAAAACGAUUCUAUCAGUUGAAACUUGAAAUUAACAGUCUCAACUCAAGGCUGCUUUUUUGUUUUAGGAAUCCCUCCUGGUUUGUAAAGUGUUAUAUUUUCUACUUUUCUCCAUAUCUUGUGGCCAGAUACUGAAGUAUAUUGCAUUGUCAAACGCUUUUGGAACUGCUGUAAUUACAC
Brassica oleracea var. oleracea is the source of this 533-nucleotide long non-coding RNA. RefSeq lists it as uncharacterized. The record is from RefSeq and is a predicted model, not a curated record. The transcript has 3 exons. Lineage: Eukaryota; Viridiplantae; Streptophyta; Magnoliopsida; Brassicales; Brassicaceae.